GAUGAACGCUGGCGGCGUGCCUAAUACAUGCAAGUCGAACGAAACUUCUUUAUCACCGAGUGCUUCCACUCACCGAUAAAGAUUUGAGUGGCGAACGUGUGAUUCACACGUCUUCAACCUGCCUUAAAGAAGGUGAGAACACUUGGAAACAGGUGCUAAUACCGCAUAACCAUAGUUACCGCGUGGUAACUAUGUAGAAUGUGGCUAUACUACCGCUUUUGGAUGGGCCGGGGGCGCAUUAGCUAGUUGGUCGGGUAAAGGCUUACCAAGGCAAUGAUGCGUAGACGAAUUGAGAGGUUGGUAGCCGACCUUGGAACUGAGCCACGGACCAAAGUACUACGGGAGGCAGCAGUCGGGAACCUGACGCAAUGGGCGAAAGCAUGAUGCAGCAACGCCGAGUGGGUGAAGAAGGUCUUGGGAUCGUAAAACCCUGUUGUUAGAGAAGAACGUGCGUGAGCGUAGAUGUUCACGUUUUGACGGUAUCUAAUAAGAAAGCAACGGCUAACUACGUG
Molecule: ribosomal RNA, 512 nt
Filed under: uncultured bacterium
Lineage: Bacteria
Description: partial 16S ribosomal RNA
Rfam family: Bacterial small subunit ribosomal RNA
Source: RNAcentral